Molecule: transfer RNA, 87 nt
Filed under: Anaerolineae bacterium
Lineage: Bacteria; Bacillati; Chloroflexota; Anaerolineae
Description: tRNA-Ser
Rfam family: tRNA
About the family: Transfer RNA (tRNA) molecules are approximately 80 nucleotides in length. Their secondary structure includes four short double-helical elements and three loops (D, anti-codon, and T loops).
Source: RNAcentral
GGAGAGGUGCCUGAGCGGUUGAAAGGGCCCGUCUCGAAAACGGGUAUAGAUGAAAGUCUAUCGCGGGUUCGAAUCCCGCCCUCUCCG